GAUGAACGCUAGCUACAGGCUUAACACAUGCAAGUCGAGGGGUAACGAGAGGAAAGCUUGCUUUCCUUGUCGACGACCGGCGCACGGGUGAGUAACGCGUAUCCAACCUGCCCCCAACUAGGGAAUAACCUUGCGAAAGUAAGACUAAUACCCUAUAAUUUCCUCAGAUGUCAUCUGACGAGGAAUAAAGAUUUAUCGGUUGUGGAUGGGGAGGCGUCUGAUUAGCUUGUUGGCGGGGUAACGGCCCACCAAGGCAACGGUCAGUAGGGGUUCGGCGAGGAAGGUCCCCCACGUUGGAACUGAGACACGGUCCAAACUCCUACGGGAGGCAGCAGUGAGGAAUAUUGGUCAAUGGGCGGAAGCCUGAACCAGCCACGUAGCGUGCGGGAUGCCGGCCCUAUGGGUUGUAAACUGCUUUUAUACAGGAAUAAAGUUAGCCACGUGUGGUUAUUUGUAGGUACUGUAUGAAUAAGUACCGGCUAAUUCCGUGCCAGCCGCCGCUGUAA
Molecule: ribosomal RNA, 506 nt
Filed under: uncultured bacterium
Lineage: Bacteria
Description: partial 16S ribosomal RNA
Rfam family: Bacterial small subunit ribosomal RNA
Source: RNAcentral